CUGAUUUCACUAGACACUAAGUCCUCUGACCACGUAAUAGUAUGGCAUAAGCCAGCAGCACUGAAAGCUUCCCUGCAGUGCCUUACCACUCUACAUUGGCACUGUUCUGGAGAGACCAUCUUUAGGGGUGAGAGAGUAGUUCUAAGACUUUGUCCAGCCAAUCAGGCUAAU
Molecule: small RNA, 171 nt
Filed under: Chrysemys picta bellii (western painted turtle)
Lineage: Eukaryota; Metazoa; Chordata; Testudines; Emydidae
Description: TUC338 (ENSCPBG00000018412.1)
Source: RNAcentral